This 482-nucleotide ribosomal RNA is filed under the name uncultured bacterium. RNAcentral describes it as "partial 16S ribosomal RNA". It matches the Rfam family "Bacterial small subunit ribosomal RNA", at positions 899 to 1397 of the family's 1533-position model. The record is from RNAcentral.
ACUCAAAUGAAUAGACGGGGGCCCGCACAAGCAGCGGAGCGUGUGGUUUAAUUCGACGCAACGCGCAGAACCUUACCCAGGCUUGACAUGGCCACGAAAGCCCCGGAAACGGGGUCCUCCGCAAGGACGGGGUCACAGAUGCUGCAUGGCUGUCGUCAGCUCGUGUCGUGAGAUGUUGGGUUAAGUCCCGCAACGAGCGCAACCCUCGCUGCCAGUUGAUUUCUCUGGCGGGACCGCCGGGACAAACCCGGAGGAAGGUGGGGAUGACGUCAAGUCAGCACGGCUCUUACGCCUGGGGCUACACACACGCUACAAUGGCCGGUACAGAGGGCAGCGAUAGCGCGAGCUGGAGCAAAUCCCAAAAAACCGGUCUCAGUUCGGAUUGCAGGCUGCAACUCGCCUGCAUGAAGUCGGAGUUGCUAGUAACCGCAGGUCAGCACACUGCGGUGAAUACGUUCCCGGGCCUUGCACACACCGCCCGU